Long non-coding RNA from Colossoma macropomum (tambaqui), 2593 nucleotides. RefSeq lists it as uncharacterized. The record is from RefSeq and is a predicted model, not a curated record. The transcript has 6 exons. Lineage: Eukaryota; Metazoa; Chordata; Actinopteri; Characiformes; Serrasalmidae.
CUACAUGCUUGGUGCAGUGGGUCUCAUUUUUGUGAAUUCUGUUGCACUGGUUGUAGAACUGAUCCUAAAAGCACGAAAUGGCGAGCGUACAAUGGAUCUGCGAGUCAUUCUCAUACCCUCUGAAUGUGUCUUCGCUUUGUGCUGUUUUGCUCUCCAAAUAUCUGCAUUCUGGAGGACAUUCAGAGAAAAUUUUAUGGAUGACAUAGAGGGCUUACGUCGAUUGUGCACGUGUCCAGUGAACACAAUGAUACGCAAUUGUGAACUGCGGUCUCUGCAGUCUACAGAAGCUGAUCCUACUCCUGCUCCUGCUCCUGCUCCUCAGGAAUUGGGGUCUUAGGAGGUGUUGAGAAUUAAUGACACUUCUUGUAUCCGGAUCACCUACAUGAAGACAUGUUGGGGUUUGAGAUCCAUUUGAGAGACACAAAUGGAAUCUUACAGCAUGAAACUGGCAUUGAUUGUGAUUCAUGCCUCACGACAUGCUUUGCACCCAGUCUUCUAGCACACAUCCAUCUGAGGUCUCAUGAGUUUUGCCACCUGCAAGCAGACGUUUGCAAGAUGCCGUGACUUUCUUUUGUUUUUUGGGGCGUUUCACAAGGAAAUCGCAGUCUCAGACGUUACCUUUUCAACAGAAGUUAGUCUCCGGAUUAUAGUCUGAUUUCAGCUGUACCUGCCGACUGUAUAUGGACUGUAUUUCCCCUCUGCCUUGUGUGCAGAGAGGUAAAGACAUAAUUGGAAAGUAUGGAUUUAAACCAAAGAUCUUCUCUGCUCAGGUCAUCGUGGAUUUAAACCAAAGAUCUUCUCUGCUCAGGUCAUCAUGGAUUUAAACCAAAGAUCUUCUCUGCUCAGGCCAUCGUCAUUUUAAAGUGAUAUUUUUAAAACGUGUCUGUCAACUUCAACAUCCAGAAGCGAUCACAACACACUGUUAAGAAACAAAAUCUAGAUGCAUUGAUAGCAAAAUAUUGUAGAUGUGCUAAGAGCAAAAUUAAAGGGGACACGUCCCGUUGCCCCCCCCCCCUUAAAUUUAGUCCUGUGGACUUAUGGGACAGAACAGUUCCCCAGACAAACACCAAUAUAUUUUUGAAAUCUUUGUGUGAUAGUCUUGACUCCAGUGGAUUAAGCUCCCUGGGAGAAAGCAGUGCCCUCUGUGGGGAGCAAACGUGCAGACCUACGCCUUCUGCUGGUUGUGGUCAAAACAUUUUGAAUCACCAGUGGGUUUUGGUCUAGAAAUCACUUAAAGCUGAAAACUGUUUGUGAACGUCUUUUUGCGACCCUUGUGUCAUUUUGCACAGUAGCUAUGAAUUAGAGGUGGGCGAUAUGGAAAAAACUGUACAUCACGAUACUUAUAGAAAUUUGUACAGACUAAAUAUUGUCACAUUUAAUACAAAAUAGUCACAUUUAUAACUGCUAUCAAAACUAUGAAUACAGUGAAACUAUGAAUACAGUGAAAUUAGUCCAGUUUAAUUGGAUUUAAACUGGACUAAUUUAACUAAUUUCACUAAUUUCACUUAUGCUCUCCUUUGCAGGUGGUCAGUGCUCUUUAAGUACUGACAAUGUCUACAAUAGGCUCAGAAACUGUACUGUUUAUCAGAACAAAAAAUGAUCACGAUAACGAUUAAUGGUCAUCAUAUUGCCCACCCCUAUCAAUACAGUAACAAAACACACUGCUAAGCCACUGCACAGAUUAAAACGAUGUACAAAACCUGUGAAAUGAUGCUGGCGCCGCUCUGUAGGACGCGUGGUAGUGACGUCAUCAGUGCGGCAGACUGUAGUCUGUAAAAACUGUGUUUAUUUGUUUUUUAUUGUCGUUAAAUCAUUUGGAACAUUUGAAACAAAGCUUCAAAUACAAGGAAUAUGCAACUUUGUUUGUACAACCUUUAAAGUGAUUCACCCCCAGUCCAUCGUAAGCGUACAAUUUGAACAAAAUAAUUCAACGACUUCCUUUACCUGUUGCUUUGGAGCUCAAUCAGUCGACACUGAUAAGCAGUGCAGAGUAAAAAGAUGGAGAUGGAGAAGACUGCCAGACCCCUGUUCAUUCAGGACAUGAUUUCUGAAAUGUUGGAUGUAAUAGUCCAAAACAUCCAUCCAUAUCUAUGUCAAAACUAGCUCACUUACAGCUUGAAAAGCUGCUUGAUUUGUAAAAAAAGCUGAGUUACUGGGAAAUGUAGUUAAAGCAGUAGCUUCAAAGGAAGCACUUCAUUGGCCCUGACUGUAGCAUUAGCCACCAUGAUCUUCCACCAAGCUGAAGAUUUACACACCAAAUUAAGUAAUCAGGGGUAUUUAAUGAACAAGCUACUGAGUCAGAAGUGUAAACUGUGUUGUCAUCUCUCAUUUUAAUGAAUGUGAUGAAGGUAUACAGUAAUGUGAUUAGAGUUAUUUCAUCCAAUCACAUGGAAACAACACCUAAAAGAGUAGCUUCCACAGAUAGACAUAUGUUGAGAUUACAAAAGAUUUCAUUCUUUUGGAUGAGUUUUACUGUCCAUACUGUACAAAACCUUUUUGAGCAGGUAGCACUGGUGCUAGAAAAGUUACAAGUGUUACAAUAGCUAUUAGCAUUCUGCACAAACUUGAAGCAAUAAAAUGAAAAUGUAUUGUG